Molecule: ribosomal RNA, 484 nt
Filed under: uncultured bacterium
Lineage: Bacteria
Description: partial 16S ribosomal RNA
Rfam family: Bacterial small subunit ribosomal RNA
Source: RNAcentral
AUUGAACGCUGGCGGCAGGCCUAACACAUGCAAGUCGAGCGGAUGAAGGGAGCUUGCUCCUGGAUUCAGCGGCGGACGGGUGAGUAAUGCCUAGGAAUCUGCCUGGUAGUGGGGGAUAACGUCCGGAAACGGGCGCUAAUACCGCAUACGUCCUGAGGGAGAAAGUGGGGGAUCUUCGGACCUCACGCUAUCAGAUGAGCCUAGGUUGGAUUAGCUAGUUGGUGGGGUAAAGGCCUACCAAGGCGACGAUCCAUAACUGGUCUGAGAGGAUGAUCAGUCACACUGGAACUGAGACACGGUCCAGGCUCCUACGGGAGGCAGCAGUGGGGAAUAUUGGACAAUGGGCGAAAGCCUGAUCCAGCCAUGCCGCGUGUGUGAAGAAGGUCUUCGGAUUGUAAAGCACUUUAAGUUGGGAGGAAGGGCAGUAAGUUAAUACCUUGCUGUUUUGACGUUACCAACAGAAUAAGCACCGGCUAACUUCGUG